Long non-coding RNA from Gallus gallus (chicken), 9154 nucleotides. RefSeq lists it as uncharacterized. The record is from RefSeq and is a predicted model, not a curated record. The transcript has 7 exons. Lineage: Eukaryota; Metazoa; Chordata; Aves; Galliformes; Phasianidae.
GGGCAGAGUGCAGAGCAGACAACAGCAGGAUGGAGUUUUAUGCCUGGUCCAAUGCUCUGAGCCACAAGUUGUGCUUUGCUUUUGGCCCUGUGAACUUUUGCCAGUAUUAGUGGCUGGGAACAAAAGCACCUUAGCUAACAGCAGCCACAGCCAUGCUCCCGACUGUGCUCUAUUUCAACAUUAUUUACUUCUGAGAAGUCCUUUGCAGGCAAACUAUGAUGCCCUGUGAAAGGUAGAUUUGCAUGACCUGAGAGCCAAGAUAGGCAAGAGAACGUUUGCUUCUGUCUGGUUAAAUCAUUAGAAACUCCAGCCUGAAUAAUACAAAUCUCCUUCAGAAUCAAGAACAAAUCAGGAAAAUUCAUCAAGAUGGAUACAGAGUAGUCCCAGAAAUCAGGAGUCAAUUUAUGUCUAGAACUGCAGUAAAGAAAAUUGUGAAGAAACAGAACUACACUGCAAUGAAGAAAUACUUGAAAUAUGUGCGUUAUUCACAGAAAACUGAGCCUGGUUUUGACUUCAGCCCAGAGUAAGCUGAGCAAAACGUUAUUGGAAGCCGUGGAGGUGCGCCAUCAGGUCAUAUUGAAGUAUGGUGUUUCAGGGCCACAGCAGUUCACGGGAAGGGACUGUGAAAGGAAGGAGGGCAGAGAAUUCCCACCGGUGGAGCAGCUGAUGUCACCAAAGAUUCAUGAGCACUUUCACUUUCUCAGUGCUGCUACAGUUCCCUUACACAAUAUCAAGGGAAAUUGUUUUUCAAAUAAGAACAGCAGCCUGCAAACAGACCUACAAGGCACCGGGAACUUUGAAGGACCUCAAAAGCCAUGAGUGAUGAUUCUCUUUGGAUGCCUGGCUCAGUUUAACCCACUCACCUGUGUAUUGCAGCACUGCACACACUGGAAAAAGAAGCGUAGAUGUCUGUGCCAUAAACACGGUAUUUUACAUCUUGACAUCCUGGAGGGCAUUUUGCGAUGAAUUCUGGAUUUAUUAUCUUCCCAGCCUUGACAUCGCAGUCAAUCUGAGGAUGUGUAUGUUCAAGCCCGAGAUUAAGAAGACGUCAGCCCUUCUGAUUUUUCUCUGGGUCUGUUUAUGUGGGUCCUGACUCCUGCCAUCCCUGAGAAUCCUGGCCGGCCUAAAAGACUACAAGCUAAUCACAGGUACCCUCCUUCUCCUGGGCAGUUCCUUCCAUGCUGCUUUUCUCCUCUAUAACAUCCAGAGGAUGUUAUAUGGAGGAAUAUUGGCUUAUCCCUAUGCUCUUUCUUUUUCUUUGUAUUGGAAAGAAUUACAAGUGGGCUGAAUGGAUUGUGCAUGAGCAUCAAAUGGAUAAAAAUUUAGCAGGACAAUGAAUCCAUAAAAGUAUGUAUUUUUACACUGCUAUUCCAAUGAGUUAUAGAGCUUGAGACGUGACGCUUUUGAUCUUGAAUGAAGAAGAAUUCAUAGACUCUAUUUUAAACAAGGCAUAUGAGAAAAUGUAUUGUGAUGAUUUCAUCUUCCUUUUUAUGUUGAUGAAUUCCUCACUUGUAGCAAAAAGUGUUCAUUAUUUGGUGAUUGCUGGGGGAAAUGCUAAGCUGGGUGCUCAUAAUUAAUGAUCAUUAAAAUAAAGCAAAAUGCCCGAUACAUAUCAGAGUAAAAAGUCUGAGAGUGAUAAAAUAUUUGUAUAAAUUAGAGGAAAAACUUUAGGGUCAAAAUUAAGUUGAUGUUCAAAGAAACUGAUAACUUGCUUACAAAUGGCAAGAUUUCCACUAAAGACAAAAUUAUCUUGCUAUCAAAGAAGAAAACACACAGGAUAUUAAAUCCGGAAAUGAUCACAAAAAACAAGUUAUCUGCCUCCUUGAAGAUGAGACAGUGGCAGAUUCCACUUAGAGAUUUGCAUACUCAGAAGAGGGCUUUGUCUGUCCCAGGAGGGAAAGUUAGAAUGACAAUAGAAAUAUGGGAGAUAGGGAGAGAAAUACACAGUCUGUCUUCUUCAUAGGCAGUGUUUCCAUUUUUUUCAUUUUAAUGGCUCUUCCUUUUUCGAGCAAGUCACAUGAUUUUUGAGUGAGAGUGAUGAAAACAGCAUGCUAGACUAAACUGGGUUCAGGCAGCUGUAGACCUUUAUCAUUUAUAACCAUUUUUAUACAGGCCAGCUACAUCUCUGAUUUUUACUUCCAUACUGUGGUCAGGGCCCUCAGAUCUUGGGCUGUCACGUGUGGGAAAGCACAGGAGGAUUUACAUUGCUGGGCAGAUAGUGCCUGGCUUAGGGCUCCAGGGGAGUCUGGUUGCAGUCAUGGUAUCUGGGGCCUAGGGAUCACCUGAUGUAGGUCCUGGAGAUACUGUGUACUAGUAUGGCAUCCACUACUACAGAAUCUUAAAGAGAGGAAAAGUGUGAAGUAAAAUGGUGAUAUUUUGUUUCUCAGGAAAGGAAAGGGAAGCUAGCGCUCUGAUCCUGCAAAUGGACCUGUGCGUGCAACAGGUUCUGUACUCUUUGGAGAUCUAGUGCCAGAUCUGGGGAUGUUUUAUAUGCGGAGAUCAAAAAUGACACUUUGCUGUUAAACCAGAGAUACUGUCCUUUUAUAAAUUUACAAAGUUAAUAGAUCCCAUUAAAACAAAACUAAAAGUUUCUGCUUGGAGUUAGACUAUGCUAUGAUUUUUACUGAGAUUUCUCCUAUUUUACGGUCAUGAGUCUCACUAUUAUGAUUUUUUUAACCCUAUUUUUUAAAAACCUAAAAUAGCCCCUCCAUGCAUGCAACAGUCAAUCUGCCUAGGAAAGACAGAGGUCUGCACAACAAAGUUAUCAUAUGGUUUUACACAUGAAGCAUACAAGAAGUGUCCAAUUCACCUGAUUUUCUUGGUUUUCUUCAUGUACGUCUUGUACUGAUCUUCCCUUUUGCUUCCAGAUCUUAUUUUUGUUUUGAAGAUUAUUUGAACCUUAUAUCUUUCAAAUACGUGCUAUAUAUAAUCCAGUCCACCCUCUGAGAAAUAACUGAUCACAGAGUCCUCCACUGAGGUUACCACAAAUGUACCAUCAUGUGGUCGCAUGAAUUUCCACAUCGUUGUUCUGCCAUUCUUUUCCUGAUGGCUCCUUACUACAGAAGUAUACCUGGCCAAACCACCUGUCUUCCAGAGAUGUGAUGCAAGGGGCCACAUGGAUAUGACAGAAAAUAAUCACAUGGUAAUUAACCCUACAAAAGCCAAAAUGAGAAAUCUGAUGUGUAAGAGGAGUGUGCCUGUUAUGGCUCCAUAGCCACAACCAAUUCCACCCAAAUCUCAGAUGGUCAGCAAAACAGGGGAAGGAGAAACUUAUCCUGAACCUGGCAUUUUAUCCUUUGAGCUCUGCUGUCUCUGGUGUAAAUUGGAUUUUACAUGUUUUUAUUUUUCCAGCUCCAUGAAAUUCCUGUCAUACACACAAAAUGGGAAAAAAAUGUUCUAAUGGCCAGAGCCCUGUUUCUGUUUGAUAUGUCCACUUGCUGUUGACCCUUUCACUCCCAGCACUGAGAUGCUAAGGUGCCUUUUGAGUUUGUGUCUCAUUAGUGAACCAAAACAAUGGAUGAUCUGGAUGAUAUUUUGUAAGCCCUGAUUCACUGGCAUCUUCCAUCGCUUUUCUCUGACUCUUCAUGAGUGAUAAUGUCAGCUAUGCUUAGCAGAUUUCCAUUAAUUAUUUGCAGGCAGCAAGUCACCAUUUAGCAUUAAAUCUCCUUUGAGUACGUUUCCUCAUCUGUAUCCUCCCAGCUGCCAUAACAUACAUUACUUCUAUACCAGGAAAGCAGUAUAUAUGCAUGAUAUUAACACUGCUAAAAUCCCAGUCAAAUCAAGCACAAAUCCAGCAAGGAGCAUCUCCUUCGGUUUUUUCAAGUAUAAGUACUAUCCUAACCUUUUGAAAUCAGAUUUCUAUUUGAAAAGAUGUUGAUUCCUUUUUCUCCACCACAAAUAUUUGAAAAAGCUGAAUGCCAGGAAAAAGACAGAAUUAGCAAGCCAUUCUUCCAGCACAUGAAGUCAGACUUUUACACUGACCUUUUAUUAUAUCAGCUUGGCUUUUAUAAAGCUCCCCAAGAGCUCUACAAACAGACAGACGGUUUUUUAUCUCUAUAAGCUGUCCUUGUAUGGAAAACUAUACAUUUGAUGAUGGAGUUAAAGGUUUUAAGUCCUUGAUUCUUGGUGUAAGACAAUGCUGUCAGUCACAUGGGCAAACACAAAUUCUUUGCUGCUGUCACGUGCUUUGUCUCUGCAGGCGUAAGCAGUUUAUUUCCUGUAAUCCCCUGUGCUGCAGAAAUUAAUUUCUGUACUCUCUUUGUACCCAAUAGUGUGUGUUAUUGUUCUCCUUCUCAAGGGGCUGCAAUAUAGCAGCAACACUGGUGCUGUUAAAAAAAUAGAAGUGGACUUUGUUUGAAAGAUAUUCAAACAAGGAGCUUGGAGUUAACAGGGCUAUCUUUAAGCACUGUGGGUUGAGUUAAAUAUGUGCUCCUUACAGGAAAAUCAGGUGGGUUUGGUGUAGGUGUGAGUACCCUGGUUCAGAUAAACAAGAGCUGAUCAUCAUCUUAGAGGGUAAAAGAUUUUGGAUUUUUUUUUUAUUCUUUUUUUUUUUUUUUUUUAAUUGUAUUUCACUCUUUCUUUGUUUCAUGCUAUCCCCUAGCUCACCAGUAGAAUAGCUGUGUGUUUUGGUGAAAAUUAGGUAAAUGGGCUAAUACCUACAAUGUUGUUUCCCCUCCUUUCUUCUCAGAGGGAAAUAGCAAGAUGGUCUACAGUGGUCAUCUCCACUAUGGGUGAUCACACCCUCAUAGCAGGGUGGUGUUUGCUGCUGUUCCUGCUUGGUGUUUAGGCCUUUUGCUUCAGAGAUGGGAGCAAGGUCUUGAACCCUGCUCUGUUGCCUGAAGAAGUGCUGGUUUCCCCCAUGUUUUUACACGGAGGUACAUGUUGGCUCUGUUUUUCAAAUACAUUUAGCUGACUGGCUUGUGGCUGUGUGUCUGGGACUGUAAGAGCUGUGAAGGUGCCAAAGGAACCUUGCUGCAGCCGUGUGGCUGGGACAUUCACAUCCUGGGAAGGAGGAUGGAGUGUCCUGGGACCUUCCUUCACCCAGAGGCUCUGCUUCUGCUCUGCUCCCAGAAAAGCAAGCAGGCAAACACCAUGAUAGGCUCCUUCUCACUUGCUGUCUUUUUGAUCCCAUAUUUCUAGUAUGGCUAGAUGUGGCUAGUAUGGGGUCCUGCUUUAUAGCAGUGAAUGAGAAAUAUCCUAAUCUUUCAUGCUCUGGAGCCUGAUGAUGGGGAUGAAUUUGGUGACAGAAAAGUGGGCUGAAAAUCUCUGAGGUUGUAGGGAGCUCUGAAUACAGUUCUUCCUGAUCAAGAGUCAUCACAACUUGCCUCCCAUUAUAGAUGCUUUGAUUGACUGCUGUGUCAUACUUUAAGUGGCGCCUGAUCUGCCCUAUGAGGUCCCCAUCUUAGAAGAGAGCUAGCAAGGCUGCUGGCACCCAGUACCCACUGGGUUGCUGCAGUCAGCUGUCCCAGUGCUAAGUUGCACUUUGGACCCACAAAUCCCUUUUUUUCCUUUUUCUUUUUUUCUUUCACAGCCACUUCAAGAAAUGUUUAUGUGCAGAUUUUCUAGAGGAAUUUAGUAUGAAAUAGCCCCAGUCAGGCAGGUAUAAUGAAAAGAUGCUAUACCCAGCAAUUUACAGCUAAAUAAAAACACCCAAGCAGCACUGUGCUACUCGUUUUAUAUUCAUGCAAAGAUCUGAAAUUAAACCAAGGUUGAAGUAACAGCGAUGAAUGCUUUCUCUGCUUUCCACAGAGGUCUUGCAGAAGAAGGUAAUUUAUUUAAAACUAUAGUGUGAUUUAACUUGCCAGACCUUUCUCAGGGCCUAAAUAAAACUGUAGUGAUUAUACUUUCUCAUCUGUCUCACAGAAGUAACCACCAAUUACACUGGUCUGGCCUGUCCCUCCCAGCACAGGAAGAAAUACAUUUAGGAUAUAGCACCCACUCAGAGAAAGCAUAACUUGGAAUAUCCAGACAGCUAUUUCUAUGACGGCCAUUACACUGUGCUUCCCUGUUUUCUGCUAAAUCAUCAUAUGUUACUUUUUUUCAUUUGGAUGCACAGCUUUCCUGGUUCAUUGGGAAUUGCUGUUACAUGCAACCUGUGAAUCCCUGUCCAGACAAGUACCUUUGUUUGCCUGUCUCUCACAGCUCUUGUGUCUCAUGUAUGUGUCCCCAUUUCCCCUAGGCUUGAUCCCUUCUCCCUCUGUGCACUGGAACUUGCUCACUGUUGGAGGCAACCUCUUUCCCUUUACUAAUGUAAUGACUUCUGCUUAACACUAGCCAGGCCCCAGAUAGGUUCCUUGCACUGCUGUGUUCCAAAGAAACUGAGAGCAAAGAGGUGAGAAAAAUCUGCAAUCCAGUAGGACCUGAGGGCUGCGCUGGGUACAAAGCAUAAGAUUUAUGGCUACAUUUCCUUUGCUCUUUGUAAAACACAGUUUUCUAUUUUCAACAAAACGCUUAAUUCUAAAAAGUCAAAGGGACAUUUUAAAGUAUAGUACAUGGUUUCUCAGGUUGGAUGCACAAUUAAAAAAAAAAAAGCACUGAAUAACUGUGCUAUUGUGCUGCCUGCAAACUAAGAAUUAUUGCAGUGUGUCAGAAUUCCCCCGAAGGUACAUAUUUGGUCUAAAAGUGAAGAAUUUGUGAGGAAGGCACUGAAGAAACUGCACAUCACUCUGGGGAUGGCUUUUGAAAUUUUUGUGGCAUGUUCAGACAAAGCUUAACAUCUUUUUGUAUGGUAAAAACUUAGAAGCAGAAAUUUAGAGAAACAUUAGUAUGUUUAUGUUCUGCUUAUUAAAGGUACAUGUAUCCCUUUGCUACAAAGGUGAGUUAUAUGUCUAGGCUGAAAGCAAAACUGAUCCUUAAGCAUGCUGAUAAAUUUAUACAUCAUCUUACAGAAAAAUAGAAUGGAAGCUGUAUUAGUUUAGUCUGUACAACUAUUGCUGCCUCAUGCCAAAGCCAUGGACUGCUUGGAUAACAAUUCACAAUACAUGUGCAGCUAAAAAAACUACCUGGAGCUAUUCUGGCAUGGAACAUUGGUUGAAAAAAGCAGUUAGUGGUUGAACUGAAUUGAUUGAUGGUGACUUGAUCAAGGAAAUCAAAAUAUCUUCAGGAAAUCAGGAAGCGUUAGGAAAACUGCAGAAAUCAUUUUGGAAAGCUAAGCUGCUUCUAUGCUGGCAACCGCCCCCGGCCAUGCCCUGCAGGCACAGCUCACCCCUCCUGAACCCCCUUCCAUAGGCAUAAAGGGGCCACCGACAUGCUCAGAGGAGGUGCAUGAGCUGUUGAAGUAGCCAGAUGCAAAAGGAUUGUUGGUGGAUCUCCCACAGGCUCAUGUCCUCCAGAUCUGGGCCACAAGCAGCUCCACAGGUCACUUGCUAGCUUGUGCUUUCUUAUUCUCCUCACAGAAGAUGGCAAAAGUUAGUUCUUAGUCUUUGAGCUGAGUCUGCCCAUACUUCUGUGGACAAGUUUGGUCUUCUGUUGCAUGUAUUUCACCUGAUCUGCAGAGAGAUCUUAAGGCUUGAAUGUCUGACCCCUCUCCUUCUCAUGAGUUCAAGGUGAGUCCUGCUUCUCAAGGGCUUACAGUGCAAGGCUGCGGUGCCAGUGGAGCCUUAUUCCUUGCACUGCACCAGGCUGACCUUCUCAGCAAGCAGUCACCGCCACUUUGUUUUUUUACAGGCAGUGUCGGUUGUAUUCAUCUCUCUGGUGUCAGCAUGUAGCCCACCUGUAGUCCAGCAGGCAUGUUCAAUCUGAGAACUAUCACUAGAUGUGGACAGGGAGCCAGUGGAAAACUAUACUCCUGUGAGUAUUGUUUCCAAUUGUAAUGGCUCAAGAACACAUCUUUAUAAAUGAGGAUGUUAUGGGUAGUACUGGAUCUCUGAAAAGGUGCUGCUGGUCGCAGACUUGACACCUGUAUAGUAACUGUUGAGUCACGGCCUGAACCACUGAUUGAGCACCUGGGGAAAGGACCCAGUCAGCCCUGGGAACACAGGUGAAGACAAUUCACCCAUUUGACCAGAAGGGCUGGAGCCUGACUGCACCUCUCUUAGACCUCACUUAAGGGCUGACUGCCAGUGCAGAAGGAUCUCUAGUUAGAGAUCCCUCCCUUGUGAAGCUUUCCCUGUAAGCCUAGAUUUUCAGAGGCAGGUGAGCACUUUCCCUUUUUCUUUGUAACGGCUUUCCACUGUGCUAGUCCCUUUGUUGUUGCACCUCCUGUAUUGCUAUUCUGCCACAUUGAUCUUUCUGACUGUUACAACUAUGUGCAGGUAAAGCUGUGCAGCCUCAUGGUAUGCAUGUUGGUAGCCCAUGGCAGAUGGUGGGUAUGGGCUCUUUAGCAUACCGUCAUGCAGACAAUGUGAUGUGCUUUUGCUUCUAAAACUGUAUCCCCUAAUGCCUAAAAGCCCUGGAGGCACUUGAAGAGCUAAAGGUGGUGGUGGCAGGGAGCAGUGCCUUCAGAGCCUCUCAUGGAUACUGUGACAGUGGAGGUGGAGCCAAAGUUGUUGAGAAGUACUUUUCAAGUCCAGGCUGAUAUUUGCUUACCAAUUCUGCCAAAUAGAAGUUUUUUAAACCUGCAGUUUCAACACAGAGAUGAAUCAUGGGGUUCUGUUUCUGAGAAUCCAAGAUCAAGAAGGAAAACUGUGCUUAUUGCAUGAACUAGGAACAAUCUGAUAAUCACACGGCAGGAAGUUGUAAUUUAUGGUCAAAGCUCUGUUUGAAAACCAAAACAGAGCCUUUAUAUCUCCAUAUUACAUAAUAGAUUUCCACACUUAAGAAGUUUGUUCUGACCUUUGGCUCGAAGAAAUUACCGUAUGAGCUUUUGCUUCUAGUUAUUGCCUAACUUCUGUAUUUCUUUUGAUGCACAAAUUUCACCAAUGUGAAUAGAAUCAGAGAAGAUGUAGACUAUGGAAGCUAGUCUGAGAUUCCACAUCCAAAAUUACCUUAUAUUUUGCGAGGCAGUUUGGUAGACAGACUGUCGCCAAAGCAGGGUGAAAGAAAACCUGUCUGACCUGGGCAUACUUGAAGAAAAGAGCAGGUAUCUACAUUCAUUCCUGGUAGAUUCAUGGAUGCGUGUUUGAUACCUAUAUUUGACCUUGCAAGUGGUUCUUGCAAGGUCAAAUAUUCCAAAUAAUUCCAGUGCAAUUACUCUAAUCUUUAUAACCGUUUCCCU